Molecule: long non-coding RNA, 684 nt
Organism: Onychostruthus taczanowskii (white-rumped snowfinch)
Lineage: Eukaryota; Metazoa; Chordata; Aves; Passeriformes; Passeridae
Exons: 3
Source: RefSeq, a predicted model, not a curated record
GGUACCCCUGUCCUGCUUGUGGCAGUGUGACCAGAGGGUCUGUCUGCAGCCCAUCCAGCAAGAGCUCAUCCACAAGUGCUCAUUGCCCGCUCUUCCAUAAAAGAUGACUCUUCUCUCUGAAUAUGAAUGUGCCCUCAGUCUCGAGUUUGUGCUGGCCUGAUUGCAGAUGGACAAACUGUUGGGUGAACAGCUGGGUGCCCGUGUCAGAGGUUUCCCUUCAGCUUGCUAAUGAGAAGUUUCCAGUAGAGGAAUCUUCCCAUGGAUGUUGGACACAUGAUAGAUGAAAGUAGCCAGAUAUUGAAGUAACAAGUGGAUUUCACCCACUGCAAGUUUUUGCCUCUGAAGAUGUGCUCAUUAUAGACCAGAAGGUUCAUGCUGAAUCUGCCAUUGCCAUUUUUGUUCUUUUUGUAUUACUGACAAACUGCAGAGAAAACAAGGACUGGAGAGCACACUGGAUCAUGGAGUAAUGGGAUACCCUUGGUGAGAUUGUUAGGACAAGGUUCUUUCCAGCUAACUCAGUGUGGGAUCUCUUGUGCUGUCUUGCAGAAGAGACAAAAAACAAGUAGUAAUCAAAUCAGACUGGAAGUAAUCUUAGCCAUCUGCCCUGUGUCAUGGUGACCAGAAGUUAGAAGAUAAGCAAAUUUACAAACCUAGUCUCAAUAAAGUUGCUUGGUUUGGUCUUUA